This 277-nucleotide unclassified non-coding RNA is filed under the name Hevea brasiliensis (rubber tree). Lineage: Eukaryota; Viridiplantae; Streptophyta; Magnoliopsida; Malpighiales; Euphorbiaceae. The record is from RNAcentral.
ACUGGCAGCGGCAUCAGCGGCUUUCUUCGCAGCCUCAAACAACUCCACAAGCUCUCUCUCCAUCGAUUCUCAGAUCUCUAAUGCCCCGAAUAUCCGCCCCAGGAAGUAGAAAGUCGCAGACGCUCUGUUUCUCUCCCCGGCUUGAGCUUUGUCCUUGUCUUGGGUAGGUGUUCCUGUUGCCCUGCCCUGCUUGUUUUUUAGAACGGCAACGGGCAUGCGGAAGAGAUAAUGAAAUUAAGACUGGACAUGGGCUGAGAAAUGCGAUCCAAUGUGUUUG